This is a long non-coding RNA of Papaver somniferum (opium poppy), 2196 nucleotides long. RefSeq lists it as uncharacterized. NCBI's taxonomy places the organism in Eukaryota, Viridiplantae, Streptophyta, Magnoliopsida, Ranunculales, Papaveraceae. The record is from RefSeq and is a predicted model, not a curated record. The transcript is spliced from 2 exons.
GUCUCUUCCUCUUUCAGAAGCAGUGAGAAAAAAAGUCGUCGCCUUUUGUUGUUCUUUGAUUUUAGUAUGAUUAAGGAUAUGAUGGUUUUAGUUUAACUGGUAUUGAAAUCGAUUGGAUAAAAUUAGUGAAUGAAGGUGUUGUUGUCGUCGUUGUUGGUGGUACUGUUGUAUUAUGAUUCUAGGGUUUGUUGGAAGAUGAGGUUCUCUGAAACUGUCGAUGCAACAUGUUUGUAGGCCUUGAUGAGUUGAAGAAGCGUAUGAAGAGAUAGUCCACAACAACAGGAAGAAGAAGAAGACAAAAUCAUGAAUAGAUGAUUUCUAAUGAUUUAAUUUUGGGAAUUUUUUAAAUUAGGGUUCUUGUGUUCUUCAUGAGAUUAAUUGUUUUGAUUUUAUUCUAUUCAUUCAUUCUGAUUUUGAGUUGAUUGAAGAGCAUCCUGAUUCUGUGUAUUUAAGUUUUUUUUUUCUUUUUUGAUUUGAUUAAAUUGAUUCAAUUUAAGAUAUGGGUUUGUAUUAAUUUGUGUGUGAAUGUUUGUUUUGAACCUGAAUUGAAACAAUUGUUUAAUUAGGUUUUGUAUGAUUCAAUUUGAGGAUUUGAAUUGAGCAGAACUACAGAGUUAGGGUCUGAUUUGAGUUGAGCAGAAAUUCAUGGGGUUGUGAUGAUUGUGCGGAUGGUGAAUGAAAUUGUAGCAAUUGAUGACGAUUUAGGGUUCUUAGAAGAAGAAUCUGGGUCGAUUUCAUAUUCCAGUGUUGAAUUGAUGAUGUUUGAGCUCGUGGAAGAAGAAGGGAAUUUUAGGGUUAGUACUGAUUCAAGAUUACAAGAAAGAAGUGGAGGUGUUACUGUUGCUAUUGAUUAUUCAGUAUGGGUUUGUGUUGGAAUGGUUAGACAGGUAGAAUAUGAAGUGCAGAUUUAGAUGUAUGUUAGGCCAGGGAAAAAAGAAGAAGAGAUGAAUCUUGAGUCUCUGGUGGGUUUAACUGAACUAGGGCUGAAAUAUUUUUGAGCAAGAAGAUGGUGGUGAUGUGAAUCUGUUAAUCUCAGGCUGAAGUUGUUGCAGCUUCAGUUUUAGGUGUUUAGUGGUGGUGCUGAGAACUGCUAUGAAUUGCAGAUGGGUGUUAUUGCUGAACUGCAGGUGAUGAUGGCAACAUACAUGUUUGUGGUUUAUCCUGGUGGUGUUUGUUAUCGUUGUGCUGUCAUUGGUUAAUAUACUCAUUUCAUUACUGGCAGGCCUGUGCAAUUUACAACAACUGGUGGCCAAUGUUGGCAGGUAACUAGAAAAAACAUUUAGAUGGUUACUCUAUUUCUUAUGUGUUACUCUAUUUCUUGUAGCUCUCAUGUACGUGAUGGUGCCUAUGCCUUGUUUAUUUUUUGGUGGUGGAUGCAUUGCAUUCUUAACCAGCCGUGAUGGUGGAGGCUGGAUGGAUGCUGCAAAGUUCUUGAUUUGAGCUGAAGCUGGUUGAGAAUGGUUGAAUUGUGGUAACGAUGCAGGUGUUGAGAGAUUGUGAUGUUAAUGGGUUGAGUUUGCAGGAUGCAAUACAAAGAAGCUGCAAAUAGUUUUGUUUCUUGAGCUGAACUGAGAAGAAUUGGUAGCAUGAGUUGUUCUGUGAAGCUGGUUGUGUAUGGACUGAUUUACAAGAACUGAUGCAAUGAUGCAGUUAUACGGAGAUGAUGGUGGUGUUGGGUUGUAGUUGAGGACAAUAACAAGUGUCUGCGAUGCAGUGAAGUGGUGUUCAGAUGAGGCAGAGAAAAUUUGUGUUGGUUGUAGUUUGGUAGUGAUGAAUGAAAGUGUAUGUACAAGGAAUGGGAUUGAUUUAGCAGUUGAGCUCAAUCUGAGUAUGAGCAUGUGGCUUGAAUUGGAUGAAGUUGCAAGUGGAGCUCAGCUAGGAAGUUAUGCACUGCAUGGCCUUGAUUCCGAUUCAGCUCUACCCAGUCGUAGGAAGGGCUUUUUAGACUUUUCGACGCUGCUACAUAAGCGUUAAUGUCUGUUAAUUGUUGUUUACCGUUUUUUGAAUAAAACGGCACUUUAACAAAUUUAUAAAAAACGGGGGCACGUUUUUAGUGUAAUGUGAAAAGUAGGGGUACUUUAUCAAAAAGCCCUUUUCUUUUUCCGUUUAACGCGUGCAUUACAACCCCAUGGUUGUCUACAUUGGUGUAAGAUAGGCCCAACAAAACAAAUGAUAUAAAAAAAAUCCAAAAUCCCA